GAUGAACGCUGGCGGCGUGCCUAAUACAUGCAAGUCGAGCGAACAGACGAGGAGCUUGCUCCUCUGACGUUAGCGGCGGACGGGUGAGUAACACGUGGAUAACCUACCUAUAAGACUGGGAUAACUUCGGGAAACCGGAGCUAAUACCGGAUAAUAUAUUGAACCGCAUGGUUCAAUAGUGAAAGACGGUUUUGCUGUCACUUAUAGAUGGAUCCGCGCCGCAUUAGCUAGUUGGUAAGGUAACGGCUUACCAAGGCGACGAUGCGUAGCCGACCUGAGAGGGUGAUCGGCCACACUGGAACUGAGACACGGUCCAGACUCCUACGGGAGGCAGCAGUAGGGAAUCUUCCGCAAAGGGCGAAAGCCUGACGGAGCAACGCCGCGUGAGUGAUGAAGGUCCUCGGAUCGUAAAACUCUGUUAUUAGGGAAGAACAAAUGUGUAAGUAACUAUGCACGUCUUGACGGUACCUAAUCAGAAAGCCACGGCUAACUACGUG
This 497-nucleotide ribosomal RNA is filed under the name uncultured bacterium. RNAcentral describes it as "partial 16S ribosomal RNA". It matches the Rfam family "Bacterial small subunit ribosomal RNA", at positions 28 to 507 of the family's 1533-position model. The record is from RNAcentral.